UGGUGUGUGUAUAUGUAUGUUUUUUCUUCCCCCUUCCUUUUUCCAAAUCCUGAUGCGAGCCUAUACAAUGAGCCAACAGCUCCCCCUCGGGAAAGGACUGGGAACACAGUGUAAGAGUCUCCAGGGAAAGAACUUUUUUGCAACAAAGUGGCAGGCUUUAGGCUUUAUUUAUCUAAAGGCACAUAUGCUCAGAGCCGCCACGCCUACUUAUUGGAGUUCUCGGAGCUCCAUGACAACAAAAGAUCAUUGUCUCUUGUAAAAAGGCAUCACAUCCCUCCCGGUUUCAGACUAGGAUACUCUGGGAUCAAAAGAGAAAUCCAAAGGAAGGACCGGCUCCUUCCUCCCGGGCUCAAGCCUGGUGCCAGUGAGGAGCUGUGGGGUGACUCCCUUUCAGGCUGGACGUGAUUGGCUGAAAGGCCCUUGACUGACAGCUCGGGCCAAAAAGUUCUGGCAGCAUUGGUUUAAUGCAGAGGCAGAAGGGGAAGCAAACAAAAGAAGCGAAGAUGCGGUCAAAUUCCACUGGGAGUCAACUCCAAAGAGCUAAAGAACAUGGAAAGAGACUCAAGUUCAGAAUGUUUAAAUAAAUUUUUUGUUGUA
Molecule: long non-coding RNA, 597 nt
Organism: Sarcophilus harrisii (Tasmanian devil)
Lineage: Eukaryota; Metazoa; Chordata; Mammalia; Dasyuromorphia; Dasyuridae
Exons: 2
Source: RefSeq, a predicted model, not a curated record